GAUCGAGUCAAUCUUCUGAAAAGAGUGAGUUUAAUCUCAAACAGUAAAGUAGUCUUGUGUCAGUGCUAUGGAUAAGAUAUAGACUGUAUGCGUGCAUGUGUUUGUAAUGUGUAUAAUUUUUUAUUUGACUAAUUCAUGCUUCUUUUUGAAAGUUGAGAACUUGAAGGGUGAAAAAUGGAAAUUUCAUUGCACCGAUUUCUAAUUUUGUAAGGAGUGUUGCAAUGUUCCUAAAAUCUUAUUGUAAUUCUUUAUUUCUCAGCAAUCUAGCAUGAAAUAUGAUCAAGCGAAUGCUAAAUGAACAAUGUCAUGAUUGUUAAACUUUAUACACUGUAUUCCCUAAUUAUGUAAUUGUUAUAUUCUGUUCAAAUUUUUUAUGUCUAGAUUAUACAUGCUUUUGCUUGUAUUUAUAAUAUGUCUAGACGGAAUCAAUGGAAUAUUAGUGGAACUCAUUUGUUUUUGCAUGUAUUGCAUUAUUAGCUAUCAUGAAUGCCCCAAACAGAUCUUAAUGCGCUUCAUUUCUGUAGUUGUCAGGUGAUAUACAUGAGGAG
This 548-nucleotide unclassified non-coding RNA is filed under the name Hevea brasiliensis (rubber tree). Lineage: Eukaryota; Viridiplantae; Streptophyta; Magnoliopsida; Malpighiales; Euphorbiaceae. The record is from RNAcentral.